Molecule: ribosomal RNA, 253 nt
Filed under: uncultured bacterium
Lineage: Bacteria
Description: partial 16S ribosomal RNA
Rfam family: Bacterial small subunit ribosomal RNA
Source: RNAcentral
UACGUAGGGGUCUAGCGUUGUCCGGAAUUAUUGGGCGUAAAGGGCGCGUAGGCGGCCUGGCAAGUGGAAGGUGAAAUCCCUCGGCUUAACCGAGGAACUGCCUCCCAAACUGCUUGGCUUGAGACCGGGAGAGGUGAGUGGAAUUCCCAGUGUAGCGGUGAAAUGCGUAGAUAUUGGGAGGAACACCAGUGGCGAAGGCGGCUCACUGGACCGGUACUGACGCUGAUGCGCGAAAGCGUGGGGAGCAAACGGG